RNAcentral lists this ribosomal RNA (3552 nucleotides) under Triticum aestivum (bread wheat). RNAcentral's name for it is "partial small subunit ribosomal RNA". The record is from RNAcentral. Lineage: Eukaryota; Viridiplantae; Streptophyta; Magnoliopsida; Poales; Poaceae.
AGAGCUGCUACUUGCCGGAGGAGGCCAGCGCAGAGCUAGGAGGAAGAGGGAGGGAGGGGAGGGAAGGGAAGAGGCAGAAGGGGGACACCAUACGAUUACCAGUGAGCAGCUACUACUCUCUACCAAUCUCUUUCUUUGCUUCCUUUCUGCAGAAAAUGAUGUGUUCUCCCCUACCACCCUCACCCUGCAAUCCAAACACAAACGCGAGCACAUCUGACACAAAGAUCUUCCCUAGACCCCCUUCACCCUCCAAUACUUGGUUCACCCAAGAUGCGCUUCUUGGUUUCGAGCAGGAGAGGACAAGUUCUGAAGGAAGCUUUACCUGUAUGGAAGGGGGAGACGCCCAGCCAGGCAUCUCCAUGGGGCGCGCCUUGUCGUCCGAAGGCGACCUGGACCUCCUGGAGCAGCUGCUCUCCGGCGACAACGCCUGGCUUGAAGUGGCGCCCAACACUUCUCGCUCACCCAACUUUUUCGCUUCUCCCUCCACCUUCCUCUCAGAUGCCACAACCACCACCACGACGCCGGCAAGUACAAACAACGCCCUGUGGAUUCAGUCAGGCUCUUCCACCGUCCGGCAAAGGCUCGACCAAGCUCUGGCUUACAUAAAGGAGAUGCAGAGAGACGUCGGCAUGCUUGUGCAGCUAUGGGUGCCUAUCAAAAGCGGUGAAGGGCAGUUAGUGCUAUCAACGAGCGGGCAGCCAUUCACUCUUGAUGAGACCUCAGAAAGGCUCAGACAGUUCAGGGAAGUGUCGACGCGGUACCAGUUCUCUGCAGAUGUUGCGUCGGAGUCCUCGCCGAUUGGGCUACCGGGGAGGGUGUUCAUUGGCAAGCUACCUGAGUGGUCACCGGAUGUUCGCUACUUCACCAGCUAUGAGUACCCCAGGGUAAACCAUGCACAGUAUUUGGACGUCCAUGGGACGAUGGGGCUGCCGGUGUUCGAGAAGGGAAGUUACUCGUGCUUGGGUGUCAUGGAACUGAUCAUGACCAGGCAGAAGCUCAACUUCACCUCUGAGAUCAACAACAUAUGCAGUGCUCUCCAGGCAGUUAACCUGAGAAGCACAGAAGUUUCAAGCAUUCCUCGCGCCACAAAGUUCAACAGUGCUUCCUACAAAGAUGCUCUACCAGAGAUACUAGAAGUUCUAAGAGCAGCCUGCGUCACCCACAAGCUCCCAUUAGCUCAGACCUGGGUCACAUGCGCUCAACAAGAGAAAAGGGGCAGCCGCCACUCCGAUGAGAACUAUCGGCACUGCAUCUCCACCAUUGACGCAGCAUGCUACGUCAAUGAUCCCCAGAUGCAGAACUUCCAUGAGUCCUGCUCUGACCACCACCUUCUGCGUGACCAAGGGGUUGCAGGGAAAGCCUUCAGCACAAACCAGCCAUGCUUCUUACCAGACAUUGGUUCUUCAACCAAAAUGGAGUACCCAUUGUCCCACCAUGCUAAGAUCUUCAACUUAAAAGGAGCAGUGGCAAUCCGGUUGAGGUGCACGCGGACUGGGACAGCGGACUUUGUGCUAGAGUUCUUUCUGCCGACCAACUGUGAAGCCCUCGAGGAGCAGAAGGCAGUGCUGGACUCCUUGUCAGGCACCAUGCGCAGUACUUGCCGAACUCUACGUGUGGUUACAGAUAAGGAGAUGGGGGAUGAGAAAAUGCUGGAAGUGAAUGAGCUGAACUCAUUUGGUCCUCAAGGGAAGAAUAAAGUUGAAGAGUUGUCUUUUGGAGACCAAGCAACAGAACAUAGAGAGGAGGCAUCAUGGACAAGCCUAGCAGGGACUUCAAAAGAAUCAGAUUUAGCUGAAUUAAGUAUACAUGGUAUGCUAUCACCUGUAGGACAGGGUCUAUCUCCAGCUGGUGCUCAGACAAGUGCACAAGGCAGCAAAGGGAAAAGGCGCACAAAGACGGAGAAGACUGUGAGCUUGCCGGUUCUUCGGCAGUACUUUGCUGGUAGCCUGAAAGAUGCAGCAAGGAGCCUUGGAGUGUGCCCUACCACCCUCAAAAGAAUAUGCAGGCAGCAUGGUAUAAAUCGCUGGCCAUCACGAAAGAUCAAGAAGGUAGACCACUCUCUAAGAAAGCUGCAGCAGAUCAUUGAUUCAGUUCACGGAGGAGAGACAGCUUUCCAGCUUAAUACCCUGUACAAGGAUCUCACAAACACCUCUGUAUCAUCUGACAACAAUUUGUCAGGAAGCGUCACAGUUCCUCCACACAAGCAGAGUAAUCUUACUGAUUUUGAGGGGCACCGACACCACAGGCUAAACAGUAAUGUGCCAUCAACCUCACACUCACACUCAUCAUGCAGCCAAAGUUCUGAUUCAAGCCCGUCAUCGUGCAGUGGUGGAUCAACAAAGCAUCCACCUCAGGCUGGUGUUGAUUUGCUUAUGUCAGGAAAUCCUGUAAAUCACAGCCCUGUCCAGACUCUGCAAACAGAAAAUGCAUCAAUAAGAGGACAUUUCCCAGUUCAGGAGGCACCAGAUCUGUUGCAUAAUCUGAACCAAAAGGCUUUAGGCGGGCAGCAUUCUUCUCGAAGCCCAUCACCCCCGAAACAGAAUGCAGAUGCAGGUAUGAGAAUAAAGGCCACAUUUGGCUCAGAAAAGGUCAGGUUCAGAUUGAAGCCUGAGUGUAGUUUUCAAGAACUGAAGCAGGAGAUGGCAAGACGUUUGAGUAUAGUAGACACAAGUUUUUUGAUUGUAAAGUACCUGGAUGAUGAUUUAGAGUGGGUCUUGAUGACAUGUGAUGCAGAUUUACAGGAAUGCCUUCAUGUAUAUAAACUAGCAAAUCUCCAAACAGUCAAAAUUUCAGUUCAUCUAGCUCCUAUUCGAGAGGCAAGGGUCACUAUUGGUCACACUGGUUUGUCAUGAAGACAUUGUAGGCCUCAUCAGCUUGUGGGAUUUAAUCAGAAAUCUACGAAGAAGCAGUGCUUAGUUUUUACCAGAGGGCAGCCCAGAAUCCAUGAUUGGCAGUCCAUGCUAGGUAGCAAGUAACAUCACUGCUUCCAGUUUUGCUGCUAGCUGGAUUAGCCUUUGAUUUGAUUCUCAGGCUAGGAGCUGAUGAUGACACUAAAGCCAGUUUCAAGUAUUAGAAUACACUGAAGAAAGCAUGCAUUGACUUGUAAAUACUCUCACUGAUGUACCGCAAACUCUGAAUGACAGUCCAACUUGAUUGUGUUGAUAGGGUGGAUAUCUCUGAAUAAGGUUUGCUCAAGAUAUAUUUUGGUUCUUGGAAUGUUGAUGUGCAAUAAUCCCCAAUGGCUUUGUCUGAUUAUUGAUGAACUGAGGAUAUGACGCCAUUCAAUGCCUCACCCAAGUGACCAGCACCAAGGCUUUUAGUGUUCAGUGUGUUUUAUCAUUCAAUGGACAUGAAGCUCUAUUUUUGUAACAAAAAUUCUGCAGUAAUUAUUCUGGAUUAGUUCUAGAUAUUGGAGGAUAGGAUACUUUGUUCAAUUUUUUUGUCCUUACAAAACUAAAUAUGUAUGGUACGCUCGUACCACAGAACUGUCUCUUUGCAAAGACUGUUUGUUGCCGUAGACAGUGUUUUAUUUAAGAAGCUUUCAGUUUGGUG